AGCCGGUUCAGCCCAGUUCGGUCAAACCAGUAGUGGCGACUGCAGGAGGCUCCGCCCACCCGCCCGGACAUAAUGCGUGAGCAAAGAGCAUGUGUGGAAGGCCAUGCUCACAUUUGCGAACCGGUAGGGAAGGAAGUAGUAAAACGAAAUCCCACUGAAAUACAAAGGAUUUGCCUCUAAUUGAAGAAGACCAGUGAUUUAUUUAUGAUGAAGGCCUUGUCCAUUCAAAAAUAGGCUGGAUGACCUUGGAACAUCUCAACUUACUUCACCAUCCAUAUUUGAUGGGAAACAUUUGAGCUCUGGAUCCUGUUUUGAACAUAAAUAAGAAAAACAUUUUACACCCAUUGAGUUGAAGAUCUAGAAACCUCUGCGGGAGAGGUGGUUGUUUCCAUUCAUUUCUAUAGAAAGCUGCUUUGUGCUUCUGAAGGGAGCUUAUUGUAAUGAGUGAUAAAUCAGCUUUUUUUUUUUUAAAAAAAAGGACUAUAAAUCUCUAUUUUAUUUCUAAAUAAAUGCAUUCAGAAUU
This is a non-coding RNA of Pantherophis guttatus, 523 nucleotides long. The record is from RefSeq and is a predicted model, not a curated record. NCBI's taxonomy places the organism in Eukaryota, Metazoa, Chordata, Lepidosauria, Squamata, Colubridae.